GACGAACGCUGGCGGCGUGCCUAACACAUGCAAGUCGAACGGAACUGUUUUGACAGAUUUCUUCGGAAUGCAUUUGAUUUAGUUUAGUGGCGGACGGGUGAGUAACGCGUGAGUAACCUGCCUUCAAGAGGGGAAUAACAUUCUGAAAAGAAUGCUAAUACCGCAUGACAUAUCGGAACCACAUGGUUUUGAUAUCAAAGAUUUUAUCGCUUGAAGAUGGACUCGCGUCCGAUUAGUUAGUUGGUGAGGUAACGGCUCACCAAGACCGCGAUCGGUAGCCGGACUGAGAGGUUGAACGGCCACAUUGGGACUGAGACACGGCCCAGACUCCUACGGGAGGCAGCAGUGGGGGAUAUUGCGCAAUGGGGGCAACCCUGACGCAGCAACGCCGCGUGAAGGAUGAAGGUUUUCGGAUUGUAAACUUCUUUUAUUAAGGACGAAAAAUGACGGUACUUAAUGAAUAAGCUCCGGCUAACUACGUG
RNAcentral lists this ribosomal RNA (482 nucleotides) under uncultured bacterium. RNAcentral's name for it is "partial 16S ribosomal RNA". It matches the Rfam family "Bacterial small subunit ribosomal RNA", at positions 28 to 507 of the family's 1533-position model. The record is from RNAcentral.